This 463-nucleotide ribosomal RNA is filed under the name uncultured bacterium. Its description in RNAcentral is "bacterial SSU rRNA". It matches the Rfam family "Bacterial small subunit ribosomal RNA", at positions 32 to 524 of the family's 1533-position model. The record is from RNAcentral.
AAUCAACGCUGGCGGCGUGCCUAACACAUGCAAGUCGCACGAGAAAGGGACUUCGGUCCUGAGUACAGUGGCGCACGGGUGAGUAACACGUGAAUCAUCUACCUUCGAGUGGGGAAUAACUGAGAGAAAUCUUAGCUAAUACCGCAUAAUACCUACGGGUCAAAGCAGCAAUGCGCUUGAAGAGGAGUUCGCGGCAGAUUAGUUAGUUGGCAGGGUAAGGCCUACCAAGACGAUGAUCUGUAUCCGGCCUGAGAGGGCGCACGGACACACUGGAACUGAAACACGGUCCAGACUCCUACGGGAGGCAGCAGUGGGGAAUUUUGCGCAAUGGGGGAAACCCUGACGCAGCAACGCCGCGUGGGAGGAUGAAAUCCCUUGGGAUGUAAACUCCUUUCGAUCGGGAAGAUAAUGACGGUACCGAGAGAAGAGCCCCGGCUAACUUCGUGCCAGCAGCCGCAGUAAG